GACGAACGCUGGCGGCGUGCCUAAUACAUGCAAGUUGAGCGAUGAAGAUUGGUGCUUGCACCAAUUUGAAGAGCAGCGCACGGGUGAGUAACGCGUGGGGAAUCUGCCUUUGAGCGGGGGACAACAUUUGGAAACGAAUGCUAAUACCGCAUAACAACUUUAAACAUAAGUUUUAAGUUUGAAAGAUGCAAUUGCAUCACUCAAAGAUGAUCCCGCGUUGUAUUAGCUAGUUGGUGAGGUAAAGGCUCACCAAGGCGAUGAUACAUAGCCGACCUGAGAGGGUGAUCGGCCACAUUGGGACUGAGACACAGCCCAAAAUCCUACGGGAGGCAGCCGUAGGGAAUCUUCGGCAAUGGACGAAAGUCUGACCGAGCAGCGCCGCGUGAGUGAAGAAGGUUAUCGGAUCGUAAAACUCUGUUGGUAGAGAAGAACGUAGGUGAGAGUGGAAAGCGCAUCAAGUGACGGUAACUACCCAGAAAGGGACGGCUAACUACGUG
RNAcentral lists this ribosomal RNA (497 nucleotides) under uncultured bacterium. RNAcentral describes it as "partial 16S ribosomal RNA". It matches the Rfam family "Bacterial small subunit ribosomal RNA", at positions 28 to 507 of the family's 1533-position model. The record is from RNAcentral.